AAAAUCCAACCCCCCCCCUCCCCGAAAAAAAAUCCUGGCUACGCCCAUGGUUAAUAAUAAUAUGCAUGACUAAAUGACUCACUUAGUAUCAAGACAAAUGGGACUACAAAUGUUGCUGUUUUUUCUUAAGAAGUCCUCUUUUUUUUCCCUCGUUUAUUUAUAGAUAUUUUAUUUAUUAAAUCUUUCUAAAUAAAAAAUUUUCUCAUUUGCCUGAAUUACAGCUAGUCUUUCUUUAGAAUGCCUGAAAAUACUAUAGAUUUCAUGAGCAAAGUAGAAAAUUGAGAAUAAUUUCCUAAUUGGCUAGUUAAUGCUUAGCUAAGCAUUCUAUAGAAUGCCUUCAUCUCACACUAAGGUAUAGGCCCCUAAUAAUAUCUACAAGUGAUAACCAGUUUUGGCUUUAAAACAUGCAAAUCAACAUUCAUUUAUAGUAUACAAAAAAAAACAUAGAUCUCGGUAGAUGAAACAAAUUGCUAGUAAAAGACUUUGUGGAAGCUCCAAUUUAAUUUGUGAGAGAUAAGAUAAUUGUUAUUGAUCCAAUCAAAUGGAAAUUCAGUUUGACUACAAUUGACAACCUUAGCAGAUCUAUUAUCUAUAUCUUCUACUUCUCACAAUUUCUUUAAUCAAAAGUAUAAUAAAGUCAUGAUCAUUCUAUCAAGUUCAUGUAACACAGACUAAAAACGGAAAAUACCUAGGCGUUAUAAUAAAUGAAAAACUGUCAUGGAAUCCCCAUAUAAAAAAAACAAAGCACUAGGGUUUAUUAAAAAAAAAUCUAUUAUUCAAAUAAGAAUAUAAAACUAAAAUGUCAUUUAACGUUGGCUAGGCCAAUAAUAGAAUAUGCAUCCUCUGUUUGGGACCCCUCAACUCAAGAAAACAUUAAGAAACUAGAACAGACACAAAAUAGAGCAGGGCAGUGAGAUUCAUAACAAACAAAUAUUCACAUUUGACUAGUAGUAAAAUCACUAAAUUUAGAAAGCCUUCAGGAUAGAAGUCCCCAAAGUAUAAAGUAAAGUAGCAAUUAUAAAUACAACACUGAACCAUAAUCUUCAAAUUCAAAAACAAAAUCUAAUAAAAUAAUCAGAAAGAUACAAGGAUAAGGGCACAUUCCAUUAUCAUCUUCUUUUUGGAAGUAACCUCUGUAUUAUAUAAGAUGUGUUCAAAAAAAAUUUCACAAAAUUGCAUUUUGACUACCAUAUUAUUUUCUCUAUCUUUGACAUAAUGAUGACAUCCUGAUCUUUGCUAUGGUAUAGCCUACAUACUUUGAUCGUUGGAGUGUUGUCGCAAUGAUCGUGUAGAACCCAUUUGCACUCAGAGAUUUAAAGGAUGUAGAAUCAACUACAAAGAGCGUUCAUGCAUUGAAGAAGAAUUUAUGGGCUGUGAAAAUCCAUUCGUGGUCAUGGCAACAUUUGUGAAUAUUGUAAACCAUGCAGAAAUAACGGCACUUGUUCACCACUACCUCCAAUCAUGUUUGAACAUUUAAAUGUGAGUGUGCUGCCACGGGUUUCUAUGGUGACAGGUGUAAAUAAAUGUCCAAAAGAUUUGUCAGCUAAGGAACCUAAAAUGUUGGCCUGUUUACUAAUAUGAGAUCUUCCUUAACUACACAAGUACCUUACAGAAGAAGGCUACUCACUUGUGUUUAGAUAUGCUGCUGUACCAAGGCUCACAUAGACUGGAUAUUUAUAUAGCCUAAUAUUAUGUUACUGACAAUUAUCUAAGUAUUGCAUGUCCUGUACAAGCCUCAAUGACUAAGAUAAUUAAAUAUAUUCAUGAUUAUAAGAUAAGUAGAAUGCAAUGAAAAUCAAAGAUGCCGGUAUUAAAACAAGAAAAAGUAGGCAACUGUAUAGCUUACUUUUCUACUGUCUAUAAUGUUUGUAGAUUUUUAAAGUUAGAAAGUGUCUUUUUUUAAUGACACAUUGCCUGUCAAUUCUGUUUAGUUUAAUCUUUUUUUUUAAUAUAGUGCCUAUCACCCUAAGUGAUGGUCAAGUUCAACAGAUAUUAUUAUAAGCAGCUUUUUUUCUGGGUAUUAUUCAACCACAGAAGCUGUGAGGGAUAUCUGAAAUCCAUUGCUGACUGGUCUAGCAGAAAGAUUUCCAUCCAUUUAG
Molecule: long non-coding RNA, 2099 nt
Organism: Biomphalaria glabrata
Lineage: Eukaryota; Metazoa; Mollusca; Gastropoda; Planorbidae
Exons: 4
Source: RefSeq, a predicted model, not a curated record